This is a long non-coding RNA of Patiria miniata (bat star), 193 nucleotides long. RefSeq lists it as uncharacterized. NCBI's taxonomy places the organism in Eukaryota, Metazoa, Echinodermata, Asteroidea, Valvatida, Asterinidae. The record is from RefSeq and is a predicted model, not a curated record. The transcript is spliced from 3 exons.
GAGGAGCAGGACCCUUUUCCACGAACGCUCUGGUACAUUUCCUGAACCUGAGGAUCAGAUACAACAGAACCGGCAAGAAACAAGUGUUGAACUGAUUGCAAGUGAGGAACACCAAGAUGAAACCAGGAUGGCGACUGCAGAUGAGGGUUGUCACGAAUCGACACCUUUGACUGAAGCCACUGGAACUGAUACA